RNAcentral lists this ribosomal RNA (582 nucleotides) under uncultured bacterium. Its description in RNAcentral is "bacterial SSU rRNA". It matches the Rfam family "Bacterial small subunit ribosomal RNA", at positions 42 to 639 of the family's 1533-position model. The record is from RNAcentral.
GCGUGCUUAACACAUGCAAGUCGAACGGUAAGGCCCCUUCGGGGGUACACGAGUGGCGAACGGGUGAGUAACACGUGAGCAACCUGCCCUUGACUUCGGAAUACCAGCUGGAAACAGCUGCUAAUACCGGAUACGACCUCCCGCGUCAUCGUGGGUGGUGGAAAGCUCCGGCGGUCAGGGAUGGGCUCGCGGCCUAUCAGCUUGUUGGUGAGGUAAUGGCUCACCAAGGCUUCGACGGGUAGCCGGCCUGAGAGGGCGACCGGCCACACUGGGACUGAGAUACGGCCCAGACUCCUACGGGAGGCAGCAGUGGGGAAUAUUGCACAAUGGGCGCAAGCCUGAUGCAGCAACGCCGCGUGCGGGAUGACGGCCUUCGGGUUGUAAACCGCUUUCAGUGGGGACGAAGCUAACGUGACGGUACCCACAGAAGAAGGACCGGCUAACUACGUGCCAGCAGCCGCGGUGAUACGUAGGGUCCGAGCGUUGUCCGGAAUUAUUGGGCGUAAAGGGCUUGUAGGCGGUCCGUCGCGUCAGGAGUGAAAACUCGGGGCUUAACCCCGAGCCUGCUUUUGAUACGGGCGG